AGGAUGAACGCUGGCGGCGUGCCUAAUACAUGCAAGUCGAACGAGUCCUUCGGGACGAGUGGCGGACGGGUGAGUAACACGUUGGUACCUGCCCCGAAGUGGGGAAUAACUGCCCGAAAGGGUGGCUAAUACCGCAUAAUACCGCAAGGUUAAAGCAGUAAUGCGCUUCGGGAGGGGCCUGCGUCCCAUUAGCUAGUUGGUAGGGUAAUGGCCUACCAAGGCGACGAUGGGUAGCUGGAUCGAGAGGUUGACCAGCCACACUGGGACUGAGAUACGGCCCAGACUCCUACGGGAGGCAGCAGUAAGGAAUCUUCCACAAUGGACGAAAGUCUGAUGGAGCAACGCCGCGUGCAGGAUGACGGUCUUCGGAUUGUAAACUGCUUUUAUAUGGGAAGAUUAUGACGGUACCAUAUGAAUAAGGACCGGCUAACUACGUGCCAGCAGCCGC
RNAcentral lists this ribosomal RNA (448 nucleotides) under uncultured bacterium. RNAcentral describes it as "SSU rRNA". It matches the Rfam family "Bacterial small subunit ribosomal RNA", at positions 26 to 518 of the family's 1533-position model. The record is from RNAcentral.